CCUACGGGAGGCAGCAGUGGGGAAUAUUGCACAAUGGGGGAAACCCUGAUGCAGCGACGCCGCGUGAGUGAAGAAGUAAUUCGUUAUGGAAAGCUCUAUCAGCAGGGAAGAAAAUGCCGGUACCUGAGUAAGAAGCCCCGUCUAACUACGUGCCAGCAGCCGCGGUAAUACGUAGGGGGCAAGCGUUAUCCGGAUUUACUGGGUGUAAAGGGAGCGUAGACGGCAGUGCAAGUCUGGAGUGAAAGGCGGGGGCUCAACCCCCGGACUGCUCUGGAAACUGUACGGCUGGAGUGCAGGAGAGGUAAGUGGAAUUCCUAGUGUAGCGGUGAAAUGCGUAGAGAUUAGGAGGAACACCAGUGGCGAAGGCGGCUUACUGGACUGUAACUGACGUUGAGGCUCGAAAGCGUGGGGAGCAAACAGGAUUAGAUACCCCAGUAGUC
RNAcentral lists this ribosomal RNA (440 nucleotides) under uncultured bacterium. RNAcentral describes it as "partial 16S ribosomal RNA". It matches the Rfam family "Bacterial small subunit ribosomal RNA", at positions 338 to 795 of the family's 1533-position model. The record is from RNAcentral.